Molecule: ribosomal RNA, 332 nt
Filed under: uncultured bacterium
Lineage: Bacteria
Description: bacterial SSU rRNA
Rfam family: Bacterial small subunit ribosomal RNA
Source: RNAcentral
CGUGCAGGCGGCCGAUCAAGUCUGAUGUGAAAGCCCGGGGCUUAACCUCGGAAGGGCGUUGGAAACUGGUCGGCUUGAGUUCGGGAGAGGAAAGCGGAAUUCCGGGUGUAGAGGUGAAAUUCGUAGAUAUCCGGAGGAACACCGGUGGUGAAGGCGGCUUUCUGGACCGAAACUGACGCUGAGACGCGAAAGCGUGGGGAGCAAACAGGAUUAGAUACCCUGGUAGUCCACGCUGUAAACGAUGGGCACUAGGUGUGGGGGGUUUUUAAUCCCUCCGUGCCGCAGCUAACGCAUUAAGUGCCCCGCCUGGGGAGUACGGCCGCAAGGUUAAA